This 253-nucleotide ribosomal RNA is filed under the name uncultured bacterium. RNAcentral describes it as "partial 16S ribosomal RNA". It matches the Rfam family "Bacterial small subunit ribosomal RNA", at positions 524 to 776 of the family's 1533-position model. The record is from RNAcentral.
UACGUAGGGCGCAAGCGUUGUCCGGAAUUAUUGGGCGUAAAGGGCUCGUAGGCGGUUUGUCGCGUCGGGAGUGAAAACACGGGGCUUAACCCCGUGCCUGCUUCCGAUACGGGCAGACUAGAGGUAUGCAGGGGAGAACGGAAUUCCUGGUGUAGCGGUGAAAUGCGCAGAUAUCAGGAGGAACACCGGUGGCGAAGGCGGUUCUCUGGGCAUUACCUGACGCUGAGGAGCGAAAGUGUGGGGAGCGAACAGG